AGGAAAUAAAUUGCACCGUAUUGAAGCUUUACUCCGGGUUCAGGCGAAUGAUACACUCUCUUAGUCAUUUGCCAGGCAGUUAGCGAGCAGGGUGUGCCAGACGUGUCCCUAAGCAGUGGGACUUGGCUGGGCUGCCAGCUGCCCCCGCAGGCCCCACGAUGCAGACCUGCCCAAGGUGAGAUGAACUCAUCUUGAGAGAGCUGACUGGCACAGGCAUGCUCUGCUGGCCAGAGAACAGGCAGGUGUCCCCAUCCCAUUCCCGUCUUCCUCACUUCUCAUGCCCAACGAAGUGCAGCAAGCUCUGACGGAUAUCCUGUCUGCUCUCCCUUUUGAGCUUAGUCUCUCUCUCUUUCUCUGGCUCCUGUGCGCUCGCUCGCUUUCUUUUUUCCCAGCCCCAUCACUUAUUCAUGGAACAGGUUCAACUCCCAGCACUGAUGUCUGGAAACGACUCGUGGACACAGAAGUGACAGUGGGUGGUUUCGAGAGUGGCCAGCGUGGAUAAUAGCAGCCGGGCAAUGGAGCAGCAUAACAAAAAGGAGAGCCAGAACAAAGCCCGACAAUUACAGUAAGAAAGAAUUCAUCGCUGUGGGGCAAGGUGGACAGCACAGAGCCACGCUCAUCUUACACGGCUCUCACACAGACUGGCAAAAGGCAUCCAGCCCAUCAGGAGCCUCUGAGAGGAAACAGGAUGGGGAAUUCCAAACAAAGAGACAGGCAAACAACGAGUUGCUGGCCGCUCCAUUAUGGCCUUGUUUGCUCCUUGUAUGCAGGAUCAUCCAUACAAUAAAAGCGAAAUUAAAAGUUCUCAGAUGUGCGGCACUGUUGGCACAUGCUGCUAGCGUACGCAUAUUCUCUCCGCCCCCGGAUGGAUUGAAGAUACCACCUUCACUUGGGAGUGAAGGCCAGAGAGGAGAAAACGUGAGGGGAUGCCUUCUGCCUAUCGGGCACAAGAGUGUUUGCAUGUUGACUUCAGAGCCAAAUCAGGAGGCAACGAAGGGGACAGGCCACAGCUUUCAGCAACAUGUCAACUGGACACAGUAACUCAUAAAAUAUCCUCUGUGCGCAUGAAAAAUGCAGGCUGACUCCAGGAGAAGGGUAUGUAUAAUUGAUUCAAAUGAGGAGCUCUUCCCUGCCAGGGACCGUGCGCUCAGUUUGCCAGCUGCUGUGCUGGGAGAACAGAAUGUAGGCCAGAGGAAGAAGAAAGGUGCUCCGGACACAGCCUGACCCGGUGGGAGAGAAGAAAUGAUAGAGGACAUACCACAUCAAGCCCCAGGCCAUGACGUGUAUGACGUUAGUAAGAGUUUCUUUCAAAUGCAUCACUAGCAUCGUUUGCAUUAGCUGAUGCAGGACAGUCGCAUAACACCCUCGUUAAAUAAGCUAGUGACAACCAAAGAUAUGAAAAAAGUUUGAAUUCAGCCUUGUGUUAUAUGUUAAAGGGACAGUUCAUCUAAAUUAAAAUUCUGUCUUCAUUUACGCACCCUUACGUCAUCAACGUGACUGACUUUCUUUUUCUGUGGAACACAAUAUAUAUAUAUAU
Molecule: long non-coding RNA, 1537 nt
Organism: Cyprinus carpio carpio
Lineage: Eukaryota; Metazoa; Chordata; Actinopteri; Cypriniformes; Cyprinidae
Source: Ensembl